GAGAGAGACAUGCGCGCAUAUCAAUAAGCGGAGGAAAAGAAACUAACAAGGAUUCCCUUAGUAACGGCGAGUGAAGCGGGAAGAGCUCAAAUUUGAAAUCUUCAAGGUUUUACCUUGACGAAUUGUAGUUUAAAGAAGUGUUUUCUGCUGAAGUUUUGGUAAAAGUUCUUUGGAAUAGGACAUCAUAGAGGGUGAGAAUCCCGUAUUUGACCAUUAUUUUCAGCUUUGUGAUACACUCUCAAAGAGUCGGAUUGUUUGGGAAUGCAGUCCAAAAUGGGUGGUAAAUUUCAUCUAAAGCUAAAUAUUGGCGAGAGACCGAUAGCGAACAAGUACCGUGAGGGAAAGAUGAAAAGAACUUUGAAAAGAGAGUUAAACAGUACGUGAAAUUGUCAAAAGGGAAGCGUUUGACACCAGUGUUGUUUUCUCGAAAAUCAAUUAAAAAUGGCUCGAUUUUGUAUUGCUUGAGACCUUAAAAGCUCACUGUACAUUUUUCGUGUCUUUUUUAAUGCACUUUUCGUUUAACAAGUCAACAUCAGUUUCUUUUGUUGUAAAAGGGUCAUUGGAAGGUGGCUUUCUUUUCGGAGAAAGUGUUUAUAGCCUUUGGCCUCUGCAGUCGGAGAGACUGAGGUCUGCAGCGUAGACUCUUCGGGGUUAGAUACAUUUGUGCUAAGUUAUAGCUUUUUAUAGACAACUUGUUGACUAUAAUUAGUCUUGUAGCUUACUCGCUUAUGCUAUUUUACCUACGCUUAGGAUGUUGAAGAUGUAGCACAUCAU
This 774-nucleotide ribosomal RNA is filed under the name uncultured Neocallimastigales. RNAcentral's name for it is "partial large subunit ribosomal RNA". It matches the Rfam family "Eukaryotic large subunit ribosomal RNA", at positions 23 to 620 of the family's 3401-position model. The record is from RNAcentral. Lineage: Eukaryota; Fungi; Neocallimastigomycota; Neocallimastigomycetes; Neocallimastigales.